This 1654-nucleotide ribosomal RNA is filed under the name Escherichia coli. RNAcentral's name for it is "partial 23S ribosomal RNA". It matches the Rfam family "Bacterial large subunit ribosomal RNA", at positions 1291 to 2925 of the family's 2925-position model. RNAcentral also lists the same sequence under 5 other names. The record is from RNAcentral. Lineage: Bacteria; Pseudomonadati; Pseudomonadota; Gammaproteobacteria; Enterobacterales; Enterobacteriaceae.
CGAAUGCUGACAUAAGUAACGAUAAAGCGGGUGAAAAGCCCGCUCGCCGGAAGACCAAGGGUUCCUGUCCAACGUUAAUCGGGGCAGGGUGAGUCGACCCCUAAGGCGAGGCCGAAAGGCGUAGUCGAUGGGAAACAGGUUAAUAUUCCUGUACUUGGUGUUACUGCGAAGGGGGGACGGAGAAGGCUAUGUUGGCCGGGCGACGGUUGUCCCGGUUUAAGCGUGUAGGCUGGUUUUCCAGGCAAAUCCGGAAAAUCAAGGCUGAGGCGUGAUGACGAGGCACUACGGUGCUGAAGCAACAAAUGCCCUGCUUCCAGGAAAAGCCUCUAAGCAUCAGGUAACAUCAAAUCGUACCCCAAACCGACACAGGUGGUCAGGUAGAGAAUACCAAGGCGCUUGAGAGAACUCGGGUGAAGGAACUAGGCAAAAUGGUGCCGUAACUUCGGGAGAAGGCACGCUGAUAUGUAGGUGAAGUCCCUCGCGGAUGGAGCUGAAAUCAGUCGAAGAUACCAGCUGGCUGCAACUGUUUAUUAAAAACACAGCACUGUGCAAACACGAAAGUGGACGUAUACGGUGUGACGCCUGCCCGGUGCCGGAAGGUUAAUUGAUGGGGUCAGCGCAAGCGAAGCUCUUGAUCGAAGCCCCGGUAAACGGCGGCCGUAACUAUAACGGUCCUAAGGUAGCGAAAUUCCUUGUCGGGUAAGUUCCGACCUGCACGAAUGGCGUAAUGAUGGCCAGGCUGUCUCCACCCGAGACUCAGUGAAAUUGAACUCGCUGUGAAGAUGCAGUGUACCCGCGGCAAGACGGAAAGACCCCGUGAACCUUUACUAUAGCUUGACACUGAACAUUGAGCCUUGAUGUGUAGGAUAGGUGGGAGGCUUUGAAGUGUGGACGCCAGUCUGCAUGGAGCCGACCUUGAAAUACCACCCUUUAAUGUUUGAUGUUCUAACGUGGACCCGUGAUCCGGGUUGCGGACAGUGUCUGGUGGGUAGUUUGACUGGGGCGGUCUCCUCCUAAAGAGUAACGGAGGAGCACGAAGGUUGGCUAAUCCUGGUCGGACAUCAGGAGGUUAGUGCAAUGGCAUAAGCCAGCUUGACUGCGAGCGUGACGGCGCGAGCAGGUGCGAAAGCAGGUCAUAGUGAUCCGGUGGUUCUGAAUGGAAGGGCCAUCGCUCAACGGAUAAAAGGUACUCCGGGGAUAACAGGCUGAUACCGCCCAAGAGUUCAUAUCGACGGCGGUGUUUGGCACCUCGAUGUCGGCUCAUCACAUCCUGGGGCUGAAGUAGGUCCCAAGGGUAUGGCUGUUCGCCAUUUAAAGUGGUACGCGAGCUGGGUUUAGAACGUCGUGAGACAGUUCGGUCCCUAUCUGCCGUGGGCGCUGGAGAACUGAGGGGGGCUGCUCCUAGUACGAGAGGACCGGAGUGGACGCAUCACUGGUGUUCGGGUUGUCAUGCCAAUGGCACUGCCCGGUAGCUAAAUGCGGAAGAGAUAAGUGCUGAAAGCAUCUAAGCACGAAACUUGCCCCGAGAUGAGUUCUCCCUGACCCUUUAAGGGUCCUGAAGGAACGUUGAAGACGACGACGUUGAUAGGCCGGGUGUGUAAGCGCAGCGAUGCGUUGAGCUAACCGGUACUAAUGAACCGUGAGGCUUAACCUU